This 236-nucleotide ribosomal RNA is filed under the name Campylobacter jejuni. RNAcentral's name for it is "partial 16S ribosomal RNA". It matches the Rfam family "Bacterial small subunit ribosomal RNA", at positions 539 to 774 of the family's 1533-position model. The record is from RNAcentral. Lineage: Bacteria; Pseudomonadati; Campylobacterota; Epsilonproteobacteria; Campylobacterales; Campylobacteraceae.
CGUUAUCCGGAUUUACUGGGCGUAAAGGGAGCGUAGGCGGCAGAGUAAGUCAGAAGUGAAAAUCUGCGGCUUAACCCUGGAAUUGCAUUUGAAACUGUCCAGCUUGAGUGCAGGAGAGGCAGGCGGAAUUCCUAGUGUAGCGGUGAAAUGCGUAGAUAUUAGGAGGAACACCAAUGGCGAAGGCGGCUUACUGGACUGUAACUGACGUUGAGGCUCGAAAGAGUGGGGAGCAAACA